ACAAGCGGUGGAGUAUGUGGUUAAUUCGACGCAACGCGCAGAGCCUUACCUAGACUUGACAUCCCGGGGAUUUUCUGGAAACAGAGAAGUGCUUAGCAAUAAAGAACCCGGUGACAGGUGCUGCAUGGCUGUCGUCAGCUCGUGUCGUGAGAUGUUGGGUUAAGUCCCGCAACGAGCGCAACCCUCGCCUUUAGUUGCCAGCAUUCAGUUGGGCACUCUAGAGGGACUGCCGGUGUCAAACCGGAGGAAGGUGGGGAUGACGUCAAGUCCUCAUGGCCUUUAUGUCUAGGGCUACACACGUACUACAAUGGCCGGUACAAAGGGCAGCCACUCAGCGAUGAGGCGCUAAUCCCAUAAAGCCGGUCUCAGUCCGGAUCGCAGUCUGCAACUCGACUGCGUGAAGUUGGAAUCGCUAGUAAUCGUAGAUCAGCAUGCUACGGUGAAUACGUUCCCGGGCCUU
This 460-nucleotide ribosomal RNA is filed under the name uncultured Desulfovibrio sp. RNAcentral describes it as "bacterial SSU rRNA". It matches the Rfam family "Bacterial small subunit ribosomal RNA", at positions 925 to 1382 of the family's 1533-position model. Lineage: Bacteria; Pseudomonadati; Thermodesulfobacteriota; Desulfovibrionia; Desulfovibrionales; Desulfovibrionaceae. The record is from RNAcentral.